UAAGGAAUAUUGGCCAAUGGAGGCAACUCUGAACCAGCCAUGCCGCGUGCAGGAAGAAGGCCCUAUGGGUCGUAAACUGCUUUUGAACAAGAGAAAACCCCGGUACGUGUACUGGGUUGAUAGUAUUGUUAGAAUAAGCAUCGGCUAACUUCGUGCCAGCAGCCGCGGUAAGACGAAGGAUGCAAGCGUUAUCCGGAUUCAUUGGGUUUAAAGGGUGCGUAGGCGGACUGAUAAGUCAGUGGUGAAAUCUCUCGGCUUAACCGAGAAACUGCCAUUGAUACUGUUAGUCUAGAGUACAGAUGAUGUGGGCGGAAUAUGACAUGUAGUGGUGAAAUACUUAGAUAUGUCAUAGAACACCGAUUGCGAAGGCAGCUCACAAAACUGUAACUGACGCUGAGGCACGAAAGUGCGGGGAUCAAACAGGAUUAGAUACCCAGGUAGUCCCUGAGCGGGCUGGCAAGGCGCAU
RNAcentral lists this ribosomal RNA (467 nucleotides) under uncultured bacterium. RNAcentral's name for it is "bacterial SSU rRNA". It matches the Rfam family "Bacterial small subunit ribosomal RNA", at positions 355 to 825 of the family's 1533-position model. The record is from RNAcentral.